Molecule: long non-coding RNA, 600 nt
Filed under: Heterocephalus glaber (naked mole-rat)
Lineage: Eukaryota; Metazoa; Chordata; Mammalia; Rodentia; Bathyergidae
Description: lncRNA (ENSHGLG00000032276.1)
Source: RNAcentral
GAGAUAUAAGGAGGGGGAUAUCCGGAGUCGCCCCACAAUGCUCCCCCCGCGGGCUCCUCCGACCCGGAGCCCUCUUGGGGCGGAUCUGGGGGCGGAGGCGGGCCACGAUAGGCUUGAAGGGAGGGAUAUAGGGGCGGAACCUUCCGCGAGGGUGGGGCUGUCCUAGAGGCGGUGGCGGAAAGCAAGGAAGCAGGGGUUCGGCGAGGCCCUGCCCUACAGGGCUUGGCAGGAGGUGCAAAAAGACGGCAGGUCCACGUCAAUUGCAAGCCUCUCCUGUGUCGAGUGUGCUCUUUGUUCCUCAAUCUUAAUCUUAGGGCCCCUGAGCAGCGUCCUUCAUUGGAUCCCCCGUUCUCUGGCCCCACCUUGGGCGCCACUUGUCCCGGCCCGCGGUUCUGAGUGUGGAUACUGGAAAGGCUGGCCCUGCGUGUCCCCACCCUAAGGACAUGUAUCCUGGAUAGAAUAUAAGAUACAGAAAGAGAGCUGCUGUUAUCACUUGCUGCUUUCUGCUUUGCUGCCUGCCAUGAACUGUUUCUCCAAUGUGAUGCUCCUCUGCCACGCCACCCUAUUUGGAGCCAGAUGAUUAUGGACUGAAACCUCUGC